UGGGGAAUUUUGGACAAUGGGGAAACCCUGAUCCAGCCAUCCCGCGUGUGCGAUGAAGGCCUUCGGAUUGUAAAGCACUUUUGGCAGGAAAGAAACGUCGCGGGUUAAUACCCCGCGGAACUGACGGUACCUGCAGAAUAAGCACCGGCUAACUACGUGCCAGCAGCCGCGGUAAUACGUAGGGUGCAAGCGUUAAUCGGAAUUACUGGGCGUAAAGCGUGCGCAGGCGGUUCGGAAAGAAAGAUGUGAAAUCCCAGAGCUUAACUUUGGAACUGCAUUUUUAACUACCGGGCUAGAGUGUGUCAGAGGGAGGUGGAAUUCCGCGUGCAGCAGUGAAAUGCGUAGAUAUGCGGAGGAACACCGAUGGCGAAGGCAGCCUCCUGGGAUAACACUGACGCUCAUGCACGAAAGCGUGGGGAGCAAACAGGAUUAGAUACCCUGGUAGUCCACGCCCUAAACGAUGUCAACUAGCUGUUGGGGUCUUCGGACCUUGGUAGCGCAGCUAACGCGUGAAGUUGACCGCCUGGGGAGUACGGUCGCAAGAUU
RNAcentral lists this ribosomal RNA (546 nucleotides) under uncultured bacterium. RNAcentral describes it as "partial 16S ribosomal RNA". It matches the Rfam family "Bacterial small subunit ribosomal RNA", at positions 355 to 895 of the family's 1533-position model. The record is from RNAcentral.